Molecule: ribosomal RNA, 521 nt
Filed under: uncultured Desulfovibrio sp.
Lineage: Bacteria; Pseudomonadati; Thermodesulfobacteriota; Desulfovibrionia; Desulfovibrionales; Desulfovibrionaceae
Description: bacterial SSU rRNA
Rfam family: Bacterial small subunit ribosomal RNA
Source: RNAcentral
AGCAGUGGGGAAUAUUGCGCAAUGGGCGAAAGCCUGACGCAGCGACGCCGUGUGAGGGAAGAAGGCCUUCGGGUCGUAAACCUCUGUCAGAAGGGAAGAACCCCCAAGGUUCGAAUAGGGCUUUGGGCUGACGGUACCUUCAGAGGAAGCACCGGCUAAUUCCGUGCCAGCAGCCGCGGUAAUACGGAAGGUGCAAGCGUUAAUCGGAAUUACUGGGCGUAAAGCGCACGUAGGCUGCUUUGUAAGUCGGAUGUGAAAGCCCUCGGCCCAACCGGGGAACUGCAUUCGAAACUGCAAGGCUGGAGUCCUGGAGAGGGUGGCGGAAUUCCCGGUGUAGGAGUGAAAUCCGUAGAUAUCGGGAGGAACACCAGUGGCGAAGGCGGCCACCUGGACAGGUACUGACGCUGAGGUGCGAAAGUGUGGGGAGCAAACAGGAUUAGAUACCCUGGUAGUCCACACCGUAAACGAUGGAUGCUAGGUGUCGGGGAGUAUUCUUCGGCGCCGUAGCUAACGCGUUAAGC